This 433-nucleotide ribosomal RNA is filed under the name uncultured bacterium. Its description in RNAcentral is "partial 16S ribosomal RNA". It matches the Rfam family "Bacterial small subunit ribosomal RNA", at positions 30 to 507 of the family's 1533-position model. The record is from RNAcentral.
AGCGAACGCUGGCGGCAUGCUUAACACAUGCAAGUCGCACGGGCAGCAAUGUCAGUGGCGGACGGGUGAGUAACGCGUAGGAACGUGUCCUGAGGUGGGGGACAACCCCGGGAAACUGGGGCUAAUACCGCAUAUGGGCUGAGGCCCAAAGCCGAGAGGCGCCUUUGGAGCGGCCUGCGUCCGAUUAGGUAGUUGGUGGGGUAAAGGCCUACCAAGCCUGCGAUCGGUAGCUGGUCUGAGAGGACGACCAGCCACACUUGGACUGAGACACGGCCCAGACUCCUACGGGAGGCAGCAGUGGGGAAUAUUGGACAAUGGGCGAAAGCCUGAUCCAGCAAUGCCGCGUGGGUGAAGAAGGUCUUCGGAUCGUAAAGCCCUUUCGACGGGGACGAUGAUGACGGUACCCGUAGAAGAAGCCCCGGCUAACUUCGUG